AAACCAGCACCUCAAGUGGUCAGGAUGAUUAUUGGGCCUAAAGCAUCCGUAGCCGGCUCUGUAAGUUUUCGGUUAAAUCUGUACGCUCAACGUACAGGCUGCCGGGAAUACUGCAAAGCUAGGGGGUGGGAGAGGUAGACGGUACUCGGGAGGAAGUGGUAAAAUGCUUUGAUCUCUCGAUGACCACCUGUGGCGAAGGCGGUCUACCAGAACACGUCCGACGGUGAGGGAUGAAAGCUGGGGGAGCAAACCGGAUUAGAAACCCGAGUAGUCC
RNAcentral lists this ribosomal RNA (274 nucleotides) under uncultured bacterium. RNAcentral's name for it is "partial 16S ribosomal RNA". It matches the Rfam family "Archaeal small subunit ribosomal RNA", at positions 473 to 747 of the family's 1478-position model. The record is from RNAcentral.